Salvia splendens (bonfire salvia) is the source of this 1055-nucleotide long non-coding RNA. RefSeq lists it as uncharacterized. The record is from RefSeq and is a predicted model, not a curated record. The transcript has 2 exons. Lineage: Eukaryota; Viridiplantae; Streptophyta; Magnoliopsida; Lamiales; Lamiaceae.
UGGCAAAUUGUAGACCACAAGAUUUCUAAAAUCCUAUGAUCUUAAAUUAGUUGUAGUUAGCAAUUAAAUGAUAAGUUAGCAAUUGAUCACUCCCCAACAUUACUAAAUAAACAGAUAUUUUCAAGAUAAGUUUGCAUAAUUUUGAACCCCAAACAAAAGUGAAAAAGAUAGUCAAAUACUACCUCCGUCCCUUAAAAAGAGAAACGAUUUCCAUUUGGUCUGUCCCUUAAAAAUAUAAACUUUCUAAAACUUUCUAUUUUAUGAACUGGACCCCAUAAUCCACUAACACUACUUCCUCUAUUUUUUUCUCUUCCUCUCUCUUUACCCAUUUUUCUCUCCCUCUCUCUUACUCUACCCUUUUUUUCUCUCUGUCUUUCUUACUUAACCAAUUGUGCAUUAAAACCCAUGCCGUUUCAAAAGUUUCUAUUUUUCAAGGCCACAUGUAGUAGUAGUACUUAAGAAAAUUAUGAAUUACUAUUAACUUACAAGGAGGCUUGUUGGAAGAAAAUUGAGUAACAUCGUUAGUAAAAUAAUCUUGUUAUGUGCCAGUUGAAACAGGUAAGCCAAUCGUACUAACAUACUUCUCAACAUGCAAUCUGUUGUUGCUGGAGAAAUUAUGGCCAAAAAGAUGCUGCUUCAAGGCUUGUUCAUGGUAAUCAAUAGAUUGUUCAGGAACCUGGUGCUCCAUAAGACCCUUGUCGUCUAUCAGUUUCACCUAGCUACUUUGCCAGGUUCUGAGGUGAAGUUUCAGACUUAUCCCAUGAGUCAAAGUCUAGUGAUAAAAUAUUUGAUAUAAUGCCGCUCUCCCCUGUAUCAAUAGCAGAAGCACCACUGCUCACUUCAGUUUCAUAUCUCCCAAAUUGAGAUAUUUUCUCUUUUCUAAAUAAAAGAGUGGAAUCUACAGUACCAUUAUUGAAUGUAUCCUCUAGAUACACACUUAGAAUAUUAGAAGUUGAAACCUUCAAGUUACCACUUCUAUAUACAGCUUGCCUAUUAGAAUCAAUACUGGUCAUUGUCAAAUGCAGGAGAAAUAAAAUCAGAAUGCUUUAAAAUAA